Molecule: long non-coding RNA, 849 nt
Organism: Herpailurus yagouaroundi (jaguarundi)
Lineage: Eukaryota; Metazoa; Chordata; Mammalia; Carnivora; Felidae
Exons: 2
Source: RefSeq, a predicted model, not a curated record
CAAAGUCUGCAGGAGCUGGCGCGCUUCCUCCUCCUCUUCUUCGGUCGCCGCCGCCGCCACCGCCUCCCCCCCAGCCGCCGGCCCCGCGCUCGGCUCCGCAGGCAAGGCCGCGCUUUUUCCUCCCCCCGCGUGUGCCUCAGGCUGAGGGCCUCAGUUUCCCCAUCGGGACAACGGAGAAGGUAACGGGCCGUCCGGGAAGGCUAAGGGCGCGAAGCCACCUCCGCCCCGAGACUAAGCUUCUGCACGCCUCCGUCUCCAGAGUCCUCUGAAGGCCCCCCCAUACCCCAUCUCGGCCCGCGCUCCGCCCCUCGGAAUUCCCGGCUCCGCAGGGGGGCGGGUCCGGCAGGGAGAAGGGGCGGGGGAAACGGGUUAGAAAGUUUGCAGCAACUUUUCUUGAGCUAGUCGCUGGGACCGAGUCGCGUGGCCCGCGCAAGCGCAGUAGUAGGAGGAUGGCCGCGCGCGCGCGCAGCCGGCCCAACCCCCUUCUUGCCGGCCUGCGGGUGGCACAGCUGGGCCACAGCUGGGCAAGGGGCGGUGCCUCCGGGCGGCUCGCUAGCCACCUCCUAUUGGCCGGAUGCCGAAGCCACGCCUUUCGGCGUCCCCAUCCCCACCCCCAGCCCGGAUUCGUCUGCUUGGCGGCCCUGUAGCUUCUUGCCAGGCCAUUGGGCGCCUCCACUCGCCUUCCAAUUGGCCCACCGAGCAGCCUCGUUCCCUCAACCCAAAGAGAGCGGACACCGCGGAGUCCAGAGCGUUGGGCAGACGGGAGGGCCUUUUAUUCGCGAGGAUCGGGGGUGGGGUCCUAGGUGUGGAGAGACAAUAAAUACUGAGGAAUGUCGGGGUCUCAGUGCA